GAUGAACGCUGGCGGCGUGCCUAACACAUGCAAGUCGAGCGAGAUAAAUGUGAGUGGAGACUUCGGUCAAAGCGAUCAUUUUGAAAGCGGCGGACGGGUGAGUAACGCGUGAGCAAUCUGCCCCAUACAAAGGGAUACCCACUGGAAACGGUGAUUAAUACCUUAUAAGACCACAAAGUCGCCCGGCUUAGUGGCAAAGAUUUAUCGGUAUGGGAUGAGCUCGCGUCUGAUUAGCUAGUUGGUGAGGUAAUGGCUCACCAAGGCGACGAUCAGUAGCCGACCUGAGAGGGUGAACGGCCACACUGGAACUGAGACACGGUCCAGACUCCUACGGGAGGCAGCAGUGGGGAAUAUUGCACAAUGGGCGCAAGCCUGAUGCAGCAACGCCGCGUGAAUGAUGAAGGCCUUCGGGUCGUAAAGUUCUGUCCUAAGGGAAGAAUACAGUGACGGUACCUUAGGAGGAAGCCCCGGCUAACUACGUGCCAGCAGCCGCCGUAA
Molecule: ribosomal RNA, 498 nt
Filed under: uncultured bacterium
Lineage: Bacteria
Description: partial 16S ribosomal RNA
Rfam family: Bacterial small subunit ribosomal RNA
Source: RNAcentral